This 280-nucleotide ribosomal RNA is filed under the name uncultured Facklamia sp. RNAcentral describes it as "partial 16S ribosomal RNA". It matches the Rfam family "Bacterial small subunit ribosomal RNA", at positions 505 to 784 of the family's 1533-position model. The record is from RNAcentral. Lineage: Bacteria; Bacillati; Bacillota; Bacilli; Lactobacillales; Aerococcaceae.
GUGCCAGCCGCCGCGGUAAUACGUAGGUGGCAAGCGUUGUCCGGAUUUAUUGGGCGUAAAGGGAGCGCAGGCGGUGACUUAAGUCUGAUGUGAAAGCCCACGGCUCAACCGUGGAAGGUCAUUGGAAACUGGGUCACUUGAGUGCAGAAGAGGAAAGUGGAAUUCCAUGUGUAGCGGUGAAAUGCGUAGAUAUAUGGAGGAACACCAGUGGCAAAGGCGACUUUCUGGUCUGUAACUGACGCUGAGGCUCGAAAGCGUGGGGAGCAAACAGGAUUAGAUA